UGGGGAAUUGUUCGCAAUGGGCGAAAGCCUGACGACGCAACGCCGCGUGGAGGAUGAAGAAUUUCGGUUCGUAAACUCCUGUCGAGCGGGACGAAAGAUGCGCGGGUUAAUACCCCGCGCAAGUGACGGUACCGCUAAAGGAAGCCCCGGCUAACUCCGUGCCAGCAGCCGCGGUAAUACGGGGGGGGCAAGCGUUGUUCGGAAUUACUGGGCGUAAAGGGCUCGUAGGCGGCCAAUUAAGUCACACGUGAAAUCCCUCGGCUCAACCGGGGAACUGCGUGUGAGACUGGAUGGCUUGAGUUUGGGAGAGGAAUGCGGAAUUCCAGGUGUAGCGGUGAAAUGCGUAGAUAUCUGGAGGAACACCGGUGGCGAAGGCGGCAUUCUGGACCAAUACUGACGCUGAGGAGCGAAAGCCAGGGGAGCAAACGGG
Molecule: ribosomal RNA, 430 nt
Filed under: uncultured bacterium
Lineage: Bacteria
Description: bacterial SSU rRNA
Rfam family: Bacterial small subunit ribosomal RNA
Source: RNAcentral